Cavia porcellus (domestic guinea pig) is the source of this 4351-nucleotide long non-coding RNA. RefSeq lists it as uncharacterized. The record is from RefSeq and is a predicted model, not a curated record. The transcript has 2 exons. NCBI's taxonomy places the organism in Eukaryota, Metazoa, Chordata, Mammalia, Rodentia, Caviidae.
UCCCGCGGCUGCGCAAACUGUUGGGCCUAGGUCGGAGGUUUAGCGGGGACCCGGCGGGUAUGUAGGUGGCUGGGGCGGCGUGGGCGGUAGGAAAGCGGGGAACAGCGAGUGUAGAAGGACUGCGUUCUCCAGGUUCCCUGAGCAGCUCCCAGUGAGCCUGCAGUAUUUUCCUUAUAUGAUCAGGCCCCGUUGUGGGCAGCGCUGCAUGCCUGGAGCCUGAGAGGAUUAUGAAAUGUGCCUGGCAAAGUGGAGCCCAGGGACCUGGUGCGGGAGAAUUAGAGGUGAAGGCCAAGCAGGUGAGGCUAGGCUAGGAAGAAGUCGAGGGUGACUUCCUCCGUAACGGUGAGCCCUGGCCAAUGAUGACUAGACCACUGCGCAAUCUGAGUUCUGGGAACCAGGUGAUGGAGUGUGCUGUAACAGCAGACUGAGGCCGGCAAGCCGCAAGCAGACUGGGCAGAGAGUUUUUCUGGACUUGUGAAGUGAAUGGACUACCUCCUAAAACAGUAUUUUUCCAUCUUCCUUACGUCUGAUAACUGGGACAGCAUUUUUAGCAUAAAUCUUUCAUAAAUCUAGGACUACACAGGACUUGAGCAAUUGUGGACUUUGCUUUGAAUUUGCUUCAGAAGUCAAUACUGACAAUGUUUGGUCUGGAGGUCAGCUGUGCAAUGAUGUCUGAUUCACCAGUCAUUAACAUACAGCUUUGAGAAGCUUCUCAGAAGGCCUCAACAUGGAUUUUCUUAAAACAUUUUCAGGAGCUCAUUUAUGCUUACCAUUUGUCAAUCUGAGAAAAAUAUCAGUAUCUACCAUUAUCAUGGUUAUUAGUACCAUUGUUUGUUACAAAUCCUACCAGGGCAAUUGAUAUCACAUUAUUUUGAUAUUAUGUUAAUUUGGACAUUUCUCCAGUUAUAUGUAAAGAUCAAAAUUAGGCAGCUUCCAUUUUAUAGAACUGGCACCUUUUAUGUGGCCAACAGAGACUACUUGGUGGCUGUAGAUUAUGAUGUAUAUUUGUUUAGAUUGAAAUCAAACCUUAAAAAAUAAUCUUCCAUAUUUCAAGUGUUUUUAUUCUGAGAAUAGAUACAAAAAUUGACAGAGAUGUGUUUUAUUUUGAUUAGUCCAGCACUCUCUCCAUCUCUGAUUUGAUCCACUUUUACCAGAUUUAACAGGUCCUCAGAUUCACACAACUGCAUGUAUUUCCUUGUUGUGCUCAUUGGAAAUUGAGCUGAUGCUGGAAAGGUGCAUCUUCAGACUUCAUUGAGGAAUUCUAGGUUUAGACAUGCUGGAAUGUGGAUUGAGUCCAUAGUCAGAGAAGAUGGAUUAAAUGGAAACAAAACAGGAAACAUGUGUUUGAAGUCUAACAGCAGUUGCUGAGGGUCAUUCCGGUCUUGUAGUUGUGCCUAUAGGAAAGAGUACCACAGAUAAAUAUUUAGUACACAAAAGUGAGUUGGCAUACAGGAUAGAAAGAUCUCUAAGAUAAUCAAAGAGGACCUUCAAGACCAGGAAAACAUGGGGAUCCUAUCUCCAUGGUAGUUACUGGUGAGAGAAACCCUGGUUUAGGCUUGGAGAUCAGAUAAUUAUUUUUUCCAGUUCUAGCAUUAUUUACAUUUUUAUUCUACAAUAAGGAAGAAAGUAAAAAAUGACAGGUGUAGGCCAUGUGGUGAAGCACAGUAGUGAAGUGGAACAGGUCAUAUGUUUCAGAAGCAGACAACAUUGACAGUUAAUGUGUGUGAAUCAUGCAGGUAGAAAUUGUACUUUUUAAAAAGUCAUUGAACUGUUCACAUAUAACAGAGAAUAAAAUAAUAUACCUCAAUUUUGUGAACACACAAAUCAUCCCAUUCUAGAAUGAGAUAAGAUUUUCUCUUUGGGACAACAUACUACAACAUACUACUUUGCUUCCAAUAGUAACAACAUUUUCAAGAUGAGGUAUUAGUCAGCUGGUGUCUGUUGAUAGCAGGAUGUGAGCAUUAAGGAGUUCAGGUGGCUCUGCCCCUACAGUCUUGAUAGUUACAGCUCACAUGGUCGCUCUGUUGGCCUGGCUCUGCUCAUUCCUGUGACUUCCCUCAGCAGAUGUUCCACAUUCCUGGCUUCUUCAAGUCCCUGGGGUCUUUGAUGCAGCUUCAGUUUCACAGAUUUGUGCACUGGCUUUUCAGCAGGGAUUCUAACCCUGUUAAACACUGCUGCCUGCAGGGGUUCUAAACCUGUGAAAUAUUGCCUGGUUUCCCAAGCUCUCCUUGGAAGUCUCAGUGGAAGCCUCCCUGACCCCACAGCUCUUGCAUUUUGCAUGCACAGCUCUUGCAUUUUGCAUGCUUGCUAAAAGUAUCCUGUAGAGGCCAUUAAGGUCUGGCAUCAGUUCAAGCAGCAGCAAGGCUGCCUUGGUGGUGGCUGCCGUGCUUUCUGAGUGGCUGGAUGGCUGAGCACAGUGAAAUCAUCCUGAAGAAAACAUCCCUUAAGCAUUCCCUGUCUGUGCAAAGGGCCCAGGGACUCUUCUCAAGUAAAAGGCUUAUACUUUUAUAUCCUUGAACCUGUGAUGGGUGGGGUCUUGCUGAUUUCUGAGACACCCUCAAGGCCUCUUUCUUCUUGUCCUGGUGCAGAGUAUUUGGCUUCUAUGUGAUGAUUCUACUUUUCUUAACAACCACACCUUCCAAUUUUAAAUAUGUUUUUCUGGCCCAAUGAAAGUUUUAAAAAAAUCUUUUGCCUUGAGAUCCCACCUACCCCAGAUCACUUGUCUGUCACUUUUAAACUCAGUUCACCCAAGUUUUAUGGCAUGAACAAAAAGCAGACAAAUUCUUUCCCAAAAUGUAAAAUGUGUGCCCACUAGUCCAAUUCCAAAUAGAAUUGGACCGAUACCUCAUGAACAUAGUCUUUACUGUCUACAUUCCUGUCACCAUUCUGGUUGUCUGAGUUCCAAGGAGAAUUGGUCAUUAAGCUCUGCUUACAGCAUUCCAGUAAUUGCUUCUCCAAGCCCUUCCAAACACUUUCUACAAACGAGUUCCAAAGGAUUCUGAACCUUAUGGGCACACAGAGUCACACCAAUAACCCUACUUUUCUGAUACCAGUUCUUUUGAUUAGUCAACUUCCUCUCAAUGUGACAAAAUCAGAAAAGGUUUGUUGUGGCUCACAGUUUCAGAAGUUUCAGUUAGUGGCUGGCUAGAUCUAUUGUUUUAGGCCAGUAGUAAAGUAGAUAUACCAUGGCAGAGGAAAGCGGCUCACCUCAUAGCAUCCAGGAAGCAGAGAAGAGGCCUGAGAGAGCCCAAGAAGUCCUAUCCUUGAAAGGUACACCUUCAAUAAUUACUUCUUCCGACUAGGUCCACCUCCUAAAUAGCCCAUUUAGCUAAGAACUUACCAAUUGAUUAAAAGCAUUCUCACAAUCCAGCCACCUCUCUGGGUCAUUCUUAAUUCAGUCAAGUUAACAGAGAUCAACUAUCAUAGGCUAUAACUUGUUAGCGGUUUCAUCAUUUCUCCACCUUAGAGAUGAGAAUCCCAAGAGAUAUUAAUGUGCUCACCUCCUCUAGGAGUCAGCUGUUACACUCAGACCAUCGUUGGUAAAUACAUGGUAGCAUUUGAAAAGUGCUGGGAAACAGACUUAUGGAAGGAAAUCAGUUUGAAAGUAGUUUUAUGAGGUUGUUUUAUAGUACUGCAGAACCUCAAACCAUCCAGGUCUUCUUAAAAUAUCUGGAUAAUGAAGGCGAAGUUGUCCUUAUGUUCCCAGAAAAGGGUCACAAAAUUCUCAAAUUCAAGCUCUUAAGAUGGGUUAAAUUUUAAGGUAACUUUAAUAGUUUUAGGAAGGAAUUUAAAAUGAGCAAAAUUUAGAAGACAUAAGAAUGUUUAGGGAAGAAUAAUCGAUACACCUCACUAAUUCAGGCUACCAAAAGAGUGGCCUCAUGGAAAAAUCACUCUGGGAUUGGUGAUUGCUCACACUCAAUCCACUCUGAGCUUUGCUAUGUUUGUUACUGUGAAUGUUGCAUACAACAUAUGGAAGUGUACUGAAUAUGUAAAGUGGGAGACACUGGAAAAGAUCAUUCUGACAGUCCUUAAACUCCUUUCACUUCUUGUUAUGGUUGAUACAUUUUGUACCUUGAGAAGUUUAGAAGUUUAACAGACUCGGCAGGCAGCCAGGAUCCUUUCUUUGUAAAUAUCCAUGUCCUGUGCUACACCCCCGCUCUGCAGGGGGUUGGCGUGGUCUGUAUACAAUAUAAGGGGGGAAAAGAGGCUUGCUCUUCCCGCCUUUUGCUCUGGCUGCUUUUGAUGGUUACUGCCAAGUGUUGCCCUGGAGCCAUGCCACCUGUCUACCGUGGAACCAAAUUAUGGACUGAAACCUCCACAAACUAAGCUAAAUAAACUUUUUGUUCCUUCA